AUACGGAGGGUGCAAGCGUUAUUCGGAAUCACUGGGCGUAAAGGACGCGUCGGCGGGUUGGCAAGUCAGAUGUGAAAUCCUACAGCUUAACUGUAGAACUGCAUUUGAAACUGCUAACCUAGAGUAUGGGAGGGGGAGAUGGAAUUAGUGGUGUAGGGGUAAAAUCCGUAGAUAUCACUAGGAAUACCGAAAGCGAAGGCGAUCUCCUGGAACAUAACUGACGCUAAGGCGUGAAAGCGUGGGGAGCAAACAGGAUUAGAAACCCUUGUAGUCC
Molecule: ribosomal RNA, 274 nt
Filed under: uncultured bacterium
Lineage: Bacteria
Description: partial 16S ribosomal RNA
Rfam family: Bacterial small subunit ribosomal RNA
Source: RNAcentral